UCCCAUGUAGUGCAGAGGUUUAGCAUACUGGGUUUUCACCUUCCACAGUGGAAUCCCCAGAGACCCGGGUUCGAACCCCGGCGUGGGAA
Neurospora tetraspora is the source of this 89-nucleotide non-coding RNA. NCBI's taxonomy places the organism in Eukaryota, Fungi, Ascomycota, Sordariomycetes, Sordariales, Sordariaceae. The record is from the annotation of a RefSeq genome assembly.